This 1062-nucleotide long non-coding RNA is filed under the name Olea europaea subsp. europaea. Lineage: Eukaryota; Viridiplantae; Streptophyta; Magnoliopsida; Lamiales; Oleaceae. The record is from RNAcentral.
AUAUAUACGACUACACCCUCAGAAGCUCAGUCUACUUUUAAUUAUAUGAAUGAAACUUACGUAAAAAAAUUUGUUUUCUUACUUGGGUCGCCGGAGAAACAAUAUUCCGGCAACCUGAGAUAUAAGUUAUUAACCGGAUUAAUGGCAAAGGGUCGAAAGUUGACCACCAGUCGGAGUGAAAGGUUUUUAGGGAGUUUUGGUUACAAUCGGGAGCAAGAAACAGUCGCCGGCUCGUCGGAGUUUGGAGAAGAUGAAGUUUGGUCAACUUUUGAUAACACAGUCAACGCUGAUAAUCAUCUGGUCAAUGUCGAAUGGACUUCAGUUGCUGGUUCCGAGAGUAAUGGAAGCUUCCCCGGUUACAGGAGCCGUAGUCAUGCUCCACGCGCUGCCAGACACGAGCACCACACUCACCGCCACGUUGGAGGCCUGUCAUCGGCUUUCAAGGAUUCGAGUUCUCCUAGGAUCGCGCAUCAGUUUCGAAGCCAGGAUAACAUGGCGGAAUCUCCACGUGGGCGCCAUAUAGCCACGUCGGCUCCAGUUAAUGUGCCGGAUUGGUCGAAGAUUUAUCGAAUCAAUUCGUCCGAGUCACUUCACAACUCGGAUGAUGGAUUCGAACAUGGUGAAUCCGAAUUAGUCCCACCACACGAGUACUUGGCACGAAGCCAAGACAUGGCUGCAAACUCGAUGUUUGAAGGUGUUGGUCGAACCCUCAAGGGACGUGAUAUGAGCCGAGUUCGAGAUGCAGUGUGGAGCCAGACUGGGUUCCACGGCUAAUUAUAACAAAUAUGGUGUCUAAUUACCAAAUAUCUCCUUGUCUAGGGGAUAGAGAUCAUAGUUAGUGGCCUAAUUGAAGUGCCUCAAGUGUGUAAUAUUGUGGCUGGUGAAUUAUUUUGAGCCCAAUCCUAAUAUUUAGUUUAGAAGUUCUCUUUGUAUUUAUCUCUAUUGUAAUGGUAGAAGACUUGGGUUCCAUGAAAUAUUGACACGCUUAAAUCGAAGUGCUAUGUAUAUAGCCCCCGUUUGGUAGCAAUUUUUCACUCAAAAAAAUCGAUUUUUUGAUCAUUA